RNAcentral lists this unclassified non-coding RNA (345 nucleotides) under soil metagenome. RNAcentral describes it as "partial contains 5.8S ribosomal RNA, internal transcribed spacer 2, and large subunit ribosomal RNA". The stretch from base 1 to 120 matches the Rfam family "5.8S ribosomal RNA", at positions 35 to 154 of the family's 154-position model. The record is from RNAcentral.
GAUGAAGAACGUAGCGAAAUGCGAUAAGUAAUGUGAAUUGCAGAAUUCAGUGAAUCAUCGAAUCUUUGAACGCACAUUGCGCCCGCCAGUAUUCUGGCGGGCAUGCCUGUUCGAGCGUCAUUGCUGCCCUCAAGCACGGCUUGUGUGUUGGGCCUCCGUCCUCCUCCCGGGGGACGGGCCCGAAAGGCAGCGGCGGCACCGCGUCCGGUCCUCGAGCGUAUGGGGCUUCGUCACCCGCUCUUGUAGGCCCGGCCGGCGCUUGCCGACACAUCAAUCUUUUUUCCAGGUUGACCUCGGAUCAGGUAGGGAUACCCGCUGAACUUAAGCAUAUCAAUAAGCGGAGGA